This 388-nucleotide transfer-messenger RNA is filed under the name Patescibacteria group. Its description in RNAcentral is "GWC2-37-13 sp002792355 Standard tmRNA". It matches the Rfam family "transfer-messenger RNA". From Rfam's summary of the family: Bacterial tmRNA, also known as 10Sa RNA or SsrA, is named for its dual tRNA and mRNA-like properties. Its role is to liberate the mRNA from a stalled ribosome. The record is from RNAcentral. RNAcentral also lists the same sequence under 4 other names.
GGGGAUGCCAGGCAUCGACGGGAAAUUUGCACUUUUAAAAAAUGGCUUAGACGGACCUGUCCGUUAAACGGAAAAAAUAACUGAUAAGCAAUUAUCAGAAUUGCGAGAAGCUAUGUUGGCAAGAUCAUAUGCAAAUAUGAACUUUGCUUACGUUAACUAAUCGCCCUCUCUAAAGAUUUUGUCCGAUUCAAUCUAUAGAGGGGAAAACCAAUCGGAAUAAGGUCGGAUAAUUUUUUCAGUUGGUUAUCUGACCGAUAAACUUAACUGACUAUCCUAGACGAUUUGAUUAUUUAGGCGCUAGGAUUAGAGUUAAAAAUAGUCUAUUCUAAGCUAAACAUUUUUAAGGGUGUUUUCUCGGACGCGGGUUCAAUUCCCGCCAUCUCCACUC